RNAcentral lists this ribosomal RNA (478 nucleotides) under Mycobacterium sp. 5B. RNAcentral's name for it is "bacterial SSU rRNA". It matches the Rfam family "Bacterial small subunit ribosomal RNA", at positions 497 to 972 of the family's 1533-position model. The record is from RNAcentral. Lineage: Bacteria; Bacillati; Actinomycetota; Actinomycetes; Mycobacteriales; Mycobacteriaceae.
CCAACUACGUGCCAGCAGCCGCGGUAAUACGUAGGGUCCGAGCGUUGUCCGGAAUUACUGGGCGUAAAGAGCUCGUAGGUGGUUUGUCGCGUUGUUCGUGAAAACUCACAGCUCAACUGUGGGCGUGCGGGCGAUACGGGCAGACUUGAGUACUGCAGGGGAGACUGGAAUUCCUGGUGUAGCGGUGGAAUGCGCAGAUAUCAGGAGGAACACCGGUGGCGAAGGCGGGUCUCUGGGCAGUAACUGACGCUGAGGAGCGAAAGCGUGGGGAGCGAACAGGAUUAGAUACCCUGGUAGUCCACGCCGUAAACGGUGGGUACUAGGUGUGGGUUUCCUUCCUUGGGAUCCGUGCCGUAGCUAACGCAUUAAGUACACCGCCUGGGGAGUACGGCCGCAAGGCUAAAACUCAAAGAAAUUGACGGGGGCCCGCACAAGCGGCGGAGCAUGUGGAUUAAUUCGAUGCAACGCGAAGAACCUU